This 750-nucleotide long non-coding RNA is filed under the name Equus caballus (horse). Its description in RNAcentral is "lncRNA (ENSECAG00000046043.1)". The record is from RNAcentral. Lineage: Eukaryota; Metazoa; Chordata; Mammalia; Perissodactyla; Equidae.
AAUUCCAAGUCAGUGUUUAAGGACCCUGGGUGUUCCAGGCAGGGAGGUGGAAGCGGAGGUUGAAGUAAAACUGGAAUUGGAUUUGGCAGAAAUGACUGACUGCAUCAUGGAAUUAUCUACAGCUAUGUGACUUUGGGGACUUGCUUCCUUUCUCUGGGCCUCAGUUUCUCCUUCGACAAACCAGGAAUAAUUCCUAAGUUUCUUUCCAGAAAAGAAAGAAAGAAGAAUGGUGCUUUUGAAAAGUCCAGAAGUUUCAGCAUAUCAGUAGGUAUAGAAUCUGCAUUUCAACUUUUAAUAACAAGGUGAUUUUUAAAAGAAGAAAAUUCAGUAUUGUAACAGUUUCUUUAGCAGUAUUAUCAUAAAUAAGUUCAAGAGACUGGCCACCUAGCAUAAACACAGCAAAAUCUUGGCAUCGUCCAUCAGUUUAAAUGUCUGCUAGACCAAGAAGGUUGAACAACUCCAAGCCUGACGUAUUCGGAGACCCACUUGACUGAACCGCGUAUAUCUGUUAUGAACAUCUUCCUCCACACAAGCAGAGAAUCAAUCUCACACAGUCUCUGCUUUAGCAUGACUGCCUACUAUUUUUACAUCAGGUUAUUACUUGUGUGUUUCUUCAUAGCACCCCUCUGUGGUAGGUUUUAUUUCUGUUUUCAGAAAAAAUCAGAAUAUAGCAAAUUUAAUAACUUUCCCAAACUCACAGGAGAGCCAAAGCAGAGAAAGAUUCAAUGAACAGUGUCAGAACAGUGUCAG